CCUGAUGGCGAGUGGCGAACGGGUGAGUAAUGCAUCGGAACGUGCCUAAUCGUGGGGGAUAACGCAGCGAAAGCUGUGCUAAUACCGCAUACGAUCUACGGAUGAAAGCGGGGGACCUUCGGGCCUCGCGCGAAUGGAGCGGCCGAUGUUAGAUUAGGUAGUUGGUGGGGUAAAGGCUCACCAAGCCGACGAUCUAUAGCUGGUCUGAGAGGACGACCAGCCACACUGGAACUGAGACACGGUCCAGACUCCUACGGGAGGCAGCAGUGGGGAAUUUUGGACAAUGGGCGAAAGCCUGAUCCAGCAAUACCGCGUGCAGGAAGAAGGCCUUCGGGUUGUAAACUGCUUUUGUACGGAACGAAAAGGCUCUUUCUAAUAAAGAGGGCUCAUGACGGUACCGUAAGAAUAAGCACCGGCUAACUACGUGCCAGCAGCCGCGGUAAUACGUAGGGUGCGAGCGUUAAUCGGAAUUACUGGGCGUAAAGCGCGCGCAGGCGGUUUUGUAAGACAGGCGUGAAAUCCCCGGGCUCAACCUGGGAAUUGCGCUUGUGACUGCAAGGCUAGAGUACGGUAGAGGGGGGUAGAAUUCCGCGUGUAGCAGUGAAAUGCGUAGAUAUGCGGAGGAACACCGAUGGCGAAGGCAGCCCCCUGGACCUGUACUGACGCUCAUGCACGAAAGCGUGGGGAGCAAACAGGAUUAGAUACCCUGGUAG
Molecule: ribosomal RNA, 713 nt
Filed under: uncultured Comamonadaceae bacterium
Lineage: Bacteria; Pseudomonadati; Pseudomonadota; Betaproteobacteria; Burkholderiales; Comamonadaceae
Description: bacterial SSU rRNA
Rfam family: Bacterial small subunit ribosomal RNA
Source: RNAcentral